Molecule: long non-coding RNA, 524 nt
Filed under: Solanum tuberosum (potato)
Lineage: Eukaryota; Viridiplantae; Streptophyta; Magnoliopsida; Solanales; Solanaceae
Description: long non-coding RNA (STUB_LNC008458)
Source: RNAcentral
CAUCCCGGUGCACUAAGCUCUCGCGCAUCCAGGGAAGGGUUGGACCAUAAGGGUCUAAUUGGACACAGCUUUAUCCUGCAUUUCUGUCGGAGGUGUUACCACAAUUCGAACCCAUGACCUCCUGGUCAUAUAACAAUAACUUCACUAGUAAUGCCAAGGCUCCCUUUCAAGUUGUUAAGUUUUACCACAACUCGACCUAUGACCUCGCGGUCAUAUAAUAGUAUCUUUACCAGUAACGCCAAGGCCCCCCUUCUAGUCGUUAAGUUUAAAAGAACGGAUAAUUUAGCUAGAGAUUAUUCCUUUAUUUGGAUUGUUGGAGUGAAUUAGAUUGAAUUUGUGGUGUUGUCUAUCCCUUUUCUUUUACAUGUUUUUUGAACUUUGUAGUAUAGUCAUCUACUCUUUUUGGAAGAUCUUGACAUAUUGAUGAGUUUUACAACUAGUAUUAUUUUAGAAAGUAUUGUAAUCUGAGAGUAUUCCUGUGCUUGAUGAAAUGCUUAUUUUCUGUGUUGAUAACUUUUAUCUUU